This 485-nucleotide ribosomal RNA is filed under the name uncultured bacterium. RNAcentral describes it as "bacterial SSU rRNA". It matches the Rfam family "Bacterial small subunit ribosomal RNA", at positions 30 to 508 of the family's 1533-position model. The record is from RNAcentral.
AUUGAACGCUGGCGGCAGGCCUAACACAUGCAAGUCGAGCGGUAGAGAGAAGCUUGCUUCUCUUGAGAGCGGCGGACGGGUGAGUAAUGCCUAGGAAUCUGCCUGGUAGUGGGGGAUAACGUUCGGAAACGGACGCUAAUACCGCAUACGUCCUACGGGAGAAAGCAGGGGACCUUCGGGCCUUGCGCUAUCAGAUGAGCCUAGGUCGGAUUAGCUAGUUGGUGAGGUAACGGCUCACCAAGGCAACGAUCCGUAACUGGUCUGAGAGGAUGAUCAGUCACACUGGAACUGAGACACGGUCCAGACUCCUACGGGAGGCAGCAGUGGGGAAUAUUGGACAAUGGGCGAAAGCCUGAUCCAGCCAUGCCGCGUGUGUGAAGAAGGUCUUCGGAUUGUAAAGCACUUUAAGUUGGGAGGAAGGGCAUUAACCUAAUACGUUAGUGUUUUGACGUUACCGACAGAAUAAGCACCGGCUAACUCUGUGC